ACUGAAUUCUCGUGGGUCUGCA
This 22-nucleotide microRNA is filed under the name Drosophila ananassae. Its description in RNAcentral is "Dan-Mir-29-P2h_5p* (star (passenger))". Lineage: Eukaryota; Metazoa; Arthropoda; Insecta; Diptera; Drosophilidae. RNAcentral also lists the same sequence under 8 other names. The record is from RNAcentral.